This 158-nucleotide unclassified non-coding RNA is filed under the name Physcia adscendens. Lineage: Eukaryota; Fungi; Ascomycota; Lecanoromycetes; Caliciales; Physciaceae. The record is from RNAcentral.
CGGGGUCUAACCGGCCUCACCUCUAUCAUCCGUGUCUACAUACCAAUGUUGCUUUGGCGAGACCUCGGGCUUGUUCCGGGGAGUUCACGCUCCUUCGCCCCGCCAAAGCCCAUAUAAAACCUGUUAUCAGUGUCGUCCGAGUAAACAUAUAACAAUUA